UCCAAGAACAACCAACACCUUCACUUCUCAGAAAACCGAACAGGGGAGAGACCCUCUGUGAUCAAGGACACAGGCAGGGGUUUGUCCAGAAUCUAGUAUUUGUACUCCAGUACUUAGUGUUUCAUUACAAGUCUAAAGGUCUUUUACUUUUUUUUUUUUUUACUUUAAGUAUUUCUUUUAUGCUGCCUGCUUCUGCUCCGCUGCAUCUUGGAUGCAAACAUUGUACUUUGUGCUCCAAUAAUUAGUUGUUUUAAAGCUUUUGUUAUCUGUUGUUCUAGAUAAAAAUGACCCAGCAAUAAGCAAUUAAAAUUAUCUCCAGGUGCAACAUUAAAGUCAUAUAAACAUCUUACUUCUUCAAUCAUAGGAUCCAAUCAUGACUUUAGCUGCGUAAAUCAUGUUAAAACCUAAACCUACAUAGGAUCAUGACUUUUACAUAAAUAAAGGGUUUAAAUAUUUGUUUUUAAUCACAACUAAAUAAUGUUCUAGCUCUUUUGCAGUGCCACUUUUCAAAUACUACAUCCCUAACCCAAACUCUACUCUUAGCGUUUUUUCACUUACCCCUGAGCGGGCUCUCGCCUCUGGUGUCAAGCGCCCGGCACCCAGCGCUCCAGGGAGAGCAUCAGGUGGGGAGUUGACUUGGGCGUUACACCUGUCAAACUGUAACACAGAUGUCCUAAGGCGAGCUCAGGGAGGACAGAAACUUCACUUGGAGCAGAAGGGCAAAAGCUCGCUUUAUCUUGAUUUUCAGUAUGAAUACAGACCGUGAAAGCGGGGCCUCACGAUCCUCAUACUUUUUGGGUUUUAAGCAGGAGGUGUCAGAAAAGUUACCACAGGGAUUAACUGGCUUGUGGCAGCCAAGCGUUCAUAGCGACGUGGCUUUUUGAUCCUUCGAUGUCGGCUCUUCCUGUCAUUGUGAAGCAGAAUUCACCCAGCGUUGGAUUGUUCACCCACUAAGGGAACGUGAGCUGGGUUUAGACCGUCGUGAGACAGGUUAGUUUUACCCUACUGAUGAUGUAUUGUUGCAAUGGUAAUCCUGCUCAGUACGAGAGGAGGUUCAGACAUUUGGUGUACAUGCUUGGCUGAGGAGCCAAUGGUGCAAAGCUACCAUCUUGGCCAUUCUAGAGGUUCAUCUACAGAAAUCUUGCAUCUUACUUGUACAUACUGAUCAUUGUUGCCAUUUUGAGUAAAUUAACUAAAUUAUGAGUAAAUUUGGGAUUUUUGGGCAUCAUUUAUAAUGCAAAACGAGAGCUUCUGUUUUGUCCCGUUUAGCUUGAUUUUAUAAAUUUGUUAUAGAAAUGAAUAUGUAGUUAAUCGUCCAGCCUCAGAAUGGAGCCGCUUAGCACAU
This 1345-nucleotide ribosomal RNA is filed under the name Oreochromis niloticus (Nile tilapia). RNAcentral describes it as "eukaryotic LSU rRNA". It matches the Rfam family "Eukaryotic large subunit ribosomal RNA", at positions 2486 to 3401 of the family's 3401-position model. Lineage: Eukaryota; Metazoa; Chordata; Actinopteri; Cichliformes; Cichlidae. The record is from RNAcentral.